UGUUGCGUGAAUCAAUUUCCACGUGAAAUUCUGGUUAAGAAACAUGUAUCAAAUCGCUUAAAUUCGUACCUUGUCUAGUGGUCCAUUCUGCUAUUGAGUCAUGGACAAGCAUCAGUGGAGAGAGGUUUUAGUAUAAACAAAAACCUAGAAGUUGAAAAUUUAAAGGAAUAAUCUUACACAGCACAGCGUUAUGUACAUGAGUUUACUGAUGAAAUUGAGAGCUUAUCCAGUAUUAUGGCGCUCGAUAGAGGCGCGGACAGCAAUAAAGAAAAAAAACCUUAAAACCGACAGACAAGCAACAAUAAAGAGUUAAGAGUAUGAUUAGAUGUAUCGUGUAAUAUUGAAGGCGUCAGAUGUACACGUAAAAUACUGGCCUCGUUAGAGUGUAUUAAUACAAAAAUAAACUUAAUAUCGCAUUUUUCGGGCCAAAAUGUUCAGUUAAGCGGGCAAUGCUCUAUAACGGCUCAACAAAAUCCUUUAACAUCAUAUUUGAAUCGACGCGUAAUGGAUUCCCAUUGUGACUUUUCGCAAUUAGAACUUUCAAAAGUUUCUCUGUAAAAAGUUAUUUGCUUUGCAAAAUUUUGAAGGAUCGGGAGCAUCGAUGUAUCGAUCAAUCGAAAUCUUCUAACUUGAUCUCUCAUGAAGUAUCGAUCAAUCGAUAGUAAUCAAUUUCAAUUCGACCAAGGACUGGUUCCAUGCUGGUCUGUCGUCGUUCCUCUUUGUUGUUUCGUUCCUCGUUCGUUUUGUUCAAAAACAAAACAUCAACAAAAAUGCGUGGCGAAGGCGAUUAAAGAUAAAUGCCAAUGUAAGCUUGCUUCGAAGUGAUUAUGGAUGCUUUUGAAAUUUAUUAACGAGGUCAACUGAAUAAUCUGCUGCAGACAGACCAAAUUACCCUAAAUGAUGAACCAAAGAGGAACAAAGUAGAAUACUUCUCAUGAAAACUUUCAAGAUACAGAUUGAACGUGAACGCAUUUCCGUAUGUCUCGCUUGAUUUUUGCAGCCCAAAAGGAAGUGUGACUUGGUGUAAACUCAUCUAUUCAUAGGAAAAUUCUUUACCUCUACUUGAAAGUUGCGUUGAGCGAGGCCUAGACCAUGGAGUAUGAAGGAAGCUGGCCAACUGAUGCUCCAUUAUGAGAUUUUUAGGAAAACCUACUGGGACGAUGACAACCUGCAGUCCAAAAUUUUUAAUAAAAAUAACAGGUUCUUUUUGUAGAACAUUGUCUUACAUCCUCAGUAGCAGAAGUACUUUGGCUGAAUUAUUCUCUACCAGGAAAGGAAAAAACAAAAGAUCUGGUUGAGGAAUGAUUUUUACUCUACUAUUUUUUGCUCUUAAAAAAAAUAGAUCUCAAUAAAUUAUACUUUGAUAUUAUGAAAGCUUUGUAGAAGAAGGCCAACGCUUUCCAAUGCAUGUGUGAAUGCUUUUACUUCACCAAAAAUGUUCAAGAGUUUAAGUUAGGUACACCGAUAGAGAUCCAGUGAUUUCGUCAUCAAAAAUUAAAGUUAACACAUGAUUGUAACUCUCAUGAUGAAGGGAAGCAGCUCAUUAAAGCUUUUCUUCUCAUGUUUAUCAUAUUUUAAUUUUUCCUUCAUCAUCAGAAUUUCAGUUCUAUGCUGAAUAGAACACCAGACAGGGUAUGACUGAGAGUACCACAAGAUAUGUCCCCUUGUCAAAAUAUCACGAGGAACUUAAUUAUUUGCUCAGAGUAAUGUAUCAGCUUGAAAUGGAAAAAUUAGCAUUUAUAGUCUACAUUAGAAUCAGUCAAUUUAUACUUCCUGCUCAUGAUAAAACCAAUAUUAAUUUAGUCAUGGAAAAAAAGUAAAGAUAAUUCAGCUACUAAGAGAAGAACAUGAUCUCCAAUUAUGUUCAAUUUUUUUUCUUUUAAAAAAGCAUGAUUUCGAGGACCUGUAAAAACUCAGAAAAUACUUGAAUCCAUCAGGGAAUGAAACAUAUCAGGGAAAAUUAGGCAAAUUCUGUGGGAAUGGCCAUAUCAGGAACAUUCCUCUCUUUUUGCUCUGAGAUCAUACUAUUUUUCUAAACUGGGUGUCUGCUGAACUUGACUUGAAAGGAGAAACCAGAUUA
Molecule: non-coding RNA, 2080 nt
Organism: Bemisia tabaci
Lineage: Eukaryota; Metazoa; Arthropoda; Insecta; Hemiptera; Aleyrodidae
Source: RefSeq, a predicted model, not a curated record